Molecule: non-coding RNA, 137 nt
Organism: Brachypodium distachyon (stiff brome)
Lineage: Eukaryota; Viridiplantae; Streptophyta; Magnoliopsida; Poales; Poaceae
Source: Rfam
GAUCUACUCCUUCUGUCCAACAAAAGAUGUCUCAGAUUUGUUAAAAUUUGAAUGUGUCUAGACAUGACUUUAGUGUAUAGAUGCAUUCAAAUUUAGUCAAAGUUGAGACAUCCUUUGUUGGACGGAGUGAGUAUUAA